This is a long non-coding RNA of Cyprinus carpio carpio, 1926 nucleotides long. The record is from Ensembl. Lineage: Eukaryota; Metazoa; Chordata; Actinopteri; Cypriniformes; Cyprinidae.
UGGGAAUAAUGAUUUGUAAAGUAAAAACUGAAGUGUUGUUUUCCACCCGCUCCACCAGGCGGCAGAAUCAGUCUUUAGGUUCAGUUUGACACAUUCAGAUACUUGACAACAUGACGCUUGAUAAUAGCACGUGCAGACUGAUUUAAAUGUAAAUUCUGCAGAUAACAACUCAAUUACAGACUUAUAAUGUCACUUAACAGCACACACUUCAGCCCAUAAACAAACAAACGCUGUGAUAAAGUGCAGGAGUGGAAGAUGUCACGAGACUCACCUAAUAAGGGAUGUUUGAAGUGUUACUCUCAACAAACAGAAGCAUGUGGACACUGGACAGACAUUGACUGUAAUGAUGGACAUCUGCUGAAGCACAGGCAGAAGUAUAACGCCUGCUGGACAUUGUGCUGGAACUCGGGGAGGACACCAUGAUCCCCCACACCUUCUCACUCACACCAGACCAUUCACUCAUAUCACGGAGAUCUGGCUGGACUUGAACCAGCAACCUCUGAAACUAUGAGGCAGUGCUCUUACCUCUGAGCCACAGAUCUCAUGUCUGAACAUGUGCAGGAACUUAUAUUUCACUAUUCUCCCUGUCAGUUUACAAUAAACCAGUUAAAUUUUUAACCCAUCACACCACUGCAGUCCUGAUUGUGAGUAACAUGUGUUUAGCCAUUAGUGCCACACUGGCUUUCAUAUUGAAAGCUUGCGUUUGCUCCACUUUGUUGGAUAUAAUGCAAUACAUGAGCUUUAAUGUAAGCAAUAGUUGGGCUUGAACUCAGAACUCAAUGAUCCCAACACAACACGCUGCUUCUUGAGCCACUGGAACAGGUGUGUAAAUGGUUGUUUUGGACAGGUUAUAUUAAGAGCUUUGGUUUAUGUGAUUAAAAAUAAUUAAAUGAAUAAAUAAAUAAAAACUUGAGCUAGCAUUUUAGGUGGUGUUUUGCUGGAAACAGUAACAACAGCUGAAUGUAAGGAAAAGUGGAUUUUGAACUCAGGACUCCACAAUUCAUGGAGAAACUUAUUAUCUCCUGCACCACUGUGUGGUGACAUCUAUUGUAGUGUUUUAGAUGUAAAGACGAUAAAAUAACCAAAACGUCUUCAAUAAUUGUGAGAUUUGAACCCAAAGACAAAACACAAUAUUAUGAGCCACAAAGUUUGCAACAACUUGUUGUUAGGUUUUAUCCAAAUUAAAUAACAGUAGGAUUUGAACUCAAGACUCUGUGAUUGAAGCGCAGCACUUUAUAGCCUGAACCACUGGAUUUGUGGUGUAAAGGACUGUUUGCUUCAGCUGUUUUUUCAGGGUUGGAGCUAAAAUCAGGACAGUGGCUCACCAGGAGCAGGAUUAGACAAUCUCUUUCCUCCUGCUGUUUUCAUGUAUUAAUGCAGAUACACUUAUUGUCCACAAGGGAGAGCACAUUAGCACAUUGAUCUGAUCUCAUGCCUGUUCUCCAUCCAUUCAUUCUCCAAACCGCUUCUCCUGUAGGAUCCUGUGAGGAGAUGCUGGAGUCUGUCCCAGAGUCUCCGACCCAAAGCAGGAAAACACCCAGUCCAUCACAGAGCGAUAAUAAGGGAUGUUUGAAGUGUUACACUCAGCCAACAGAAGCAUGUGGACAGACAUUGACUGUAAUGAUGGACAUCUGCUGAAGCACAGGCAGAAGUAUAACCCCUGCUGGACAUUGUGCUGGAACUCGGGGAGGACACCAUGAUCCCCCACACCUUCUCACUCACACCAGACCAUUCACUCAUAUCACAGAGAUCUGGCUGGACUUGAACCAGCAACCUCUGAAACCAUGAGGCAGCGCUCUUACCUCUGAGCCACAGAUCUCAUGUCUGAACAUGUGGAGGAACUUAUAUUUCACUAUUCUCCCUGUCAGUUUACAAUAAACCAGUUAAAUUGUGUAAGUAAUGUGUGUAAGUAAUGUGUGUUUGCAC